RNAcentral lists this ribosomal RNA (254 nucleotides) under uncultured bacterium. Its description in RNAcentral is "partial 16S ribosomal RNA". It matches the Rfam family "Bacterial small subunit ribosomal RNA", at positions 524 to 777 of the family's 1533-position model. The record is from RNAcentral.
UACGGAGGGUGCAAGCGUUAUCCGGAUUUACUGGGUUUAAAGGGUGUGUAGGCGGAUUAUUAAGUCAGCGGUGAAAUCUCCGGGCUCAACCCGGAAACUGCCAUUGAUACUAUUAGUCUUGAAUAUUGUUGAGGUGGGCGGAACGGGUCAUGUAGCGGUGAAAUGCAUAGAUAUGACCCGGAACACCGAUUGCGAAGGCAGCCCACUAAGCAAUGAUUGACGCUGAGGCACGAAAGCGUGGGGAUCAAACAGGG